UAUUUUGCCUUGAACAAGAAUAGUAAUAUUGAACUCAUCUAAAGAGAGCUGUUGAUUGCUGCAAAACAGUGAUGAUUAUAUAUGAACUCGCUUGGGAGCAUUACUACUAAAAAGUAGUACGGUUAAUCCGUUAUAUUAUAAAGUGAGGUUCUUACCUAAGUAGAGUGGUACCACGGAGUUUAACCUUCGUCUCUUUU
This 197-nucleotide non-coding RNA is filed under the name Clostridium pasteurianum. RNAcentral describes it as "T-box sequence". It matches the Rfam family "T-box leader". From Rfam's summary of the family: Uncharged tRNA acts as the effector for transcription antitermination of genes in the T-box leader family. T-boxes are found upstream of many aminoacyl-tRNA synthetase genes and some amino acid biosynthetic genes usually in Gram-positive bacteria. Lineage: Bacteria; Bacillati; Bacillota; Clostridia; Eubacteriales; Clostridiaceae. The record is from RNAcentral.